This is a long non-coding RNA of Quercus robur (English oak), 588 nucleotides long. RefSeq lists it as uncharacterized. The transcript is spliced from 2 exons. The record is from RefSeq and is a predicted model, not a curated record. NCBI's taxonomy places the organism in Eukaryota, Viridiplantae, Streptophyta, Magnoliopsida, Fagales, Fagaceae.
GAAAGCUUUUGGAAUGGAAAAUGAACUGCUUGAAGAUAAGGAAGAUGAUGAAAUGGAUAUGCAUCACAAGAGUGGUGAAUCAGCUGACAUUGUUGAAGUAGAAGACUUCUCUGUCAUUGUUCCUUUAAAUAUAAAAGAUCCACAUGUAUCACAAACCAAAGGUCGAAAGAAAAGUACCGAGAAACAAGGUCCUGGUGGGAGAAUUAAAGGUGGGCUUGAAAUAUCCUUAGCUCAUGCAACAACAAAAAGACGAUCUUGUCAACCUUGUGGGGGUUAUGGUCAUAAUCGUCGUACUUGUAAACAAUUUAAUGGCGAAGGAAGUGAUUACCAAGAUGAAGAAAACAUUACAGAGGUUGAUGACAAUGAUAUUGAUGAUUUAGCAUAAAGUACAUGUGGCUGAAGAGAAUCACAAAAUGAUCAUUCCAUGGUGGAAUUUAUAUAUAUAUUGAGUCCAAGUAGCUGAAGGAACUAUGUUUAAGGAGCUAUGUUGUUAAUCAUGAUGAAAUAGUUUUAUUUGGUUUUUUGUUUUGUUUUUUUAAGGACCUAUGUUGGAAUACUGUUAUUUAAGGACAUAUGCCUCAUUUUUUU